UACGGCUCAGUAACACGUAGGUAACCUACCCUCAGGACUGAGAUAACCCCGGGGAAACUGGGGCUAAUAUUAGAUAGAUAAAAGAUACUGGAAUGUUCUUUUAUCCAAAGCUUUUGCGCCUGAGGAUGGGCCUGCGUCCGAUUAGGUCGUUGGUGGGGUAAUGGCCCACCAAGCCUGCGAUCGGUACGGGCAGUGGAAGCUGAAGCCCGGAGUUGGGGACUGAGACAAGGCCCCAGGCCCUACGGGGCGCAGCAGGCGCGAAACCUCUGCAAUGCGGGAAACCGUGACAGGGGGAUCCCAAGUGCUCAUGCAUUGCAUGGGMUGUUCUUUGGUMUAAGUAACCAGAGGAGUAAGGGCUGGGCAAGACCGGUGCCAGCCGCCGCGGUAAUACCGGCAGCUCAAGUGGUAGCCGCGAUUAUUGGGCCUAAAACGUUCGUAGCCGGAUAAGUAAGUCUUUGGUUAAAUCCUGCGACUCAACCGUGGGAAUUCUAGAGAUACUGCUCGUCUUGAGACCGGGAGAGGUUGGAGGUACUCCUAGGGUAGGGGUGAAAUCCUGUAAUCCUAGGGGGACCACCUGUGGCGAAGGCGUCCAACUGGAACGGGUCUGACGGUGAGGGACGAAACCUAGGGGAKCCUCCCCKUUUUAAUACCCGGGUAGUCCUAGGCGUAAA
RNAcentral lists this ribosomal RNA (671 nucleotides) under uncultured euryarchaeote. RNAcentral describes it as "bacterial SSU rRNA". It matches the Rfam family "Archaeal small subunit ribosomal RNA", at positions 84 to 757 of the family's 1478-position model. The record is from RNAcentral. Lineage: Archaea; Methanobacteriati; Methanobacteriota.